ACCCGACGGAUAUGGAUUCGGAUAUGGAUUUUGAUUGUACCCGACCCGAACCCGAACCCAACCCGAACCCGAAUUUAUUUUGUAUUAUAUAUAAUAUAUAUAUAAAAAUUUGAUAUUAUAUUUGAAUUUGUAUUUUAAAAAUUUAGGUUUAAUAUAAUAUAUUUUGAAAUAUUGAAAAAAAAAAUAAUUGUCUCGGGUUCAAAUUUUCGGGUUCAGGUUCGGGUUCGGGUUUCGGAUUUUUGGUCGGAUUCGGGUUUGGAUAUGAAUUUUUAAAAUCCGUCGGGUUCGGAUCUCAGGUUUGGAGUCGGGUUCGGAUUCAGAUUUUUAAAAAUUCGCCCCGAAUCCAACCCGUUGAUAUCUCUAAAAAGGGAGGAAUUCUACACGGUCACACUUGCACCACGUCAUCAAUAACAAGCCAAUCACAUUCCUUCUUUUCAAACAAAAGUACAAUAAAAAUAUUUUUUUACAAUCAUGAUGGGACAUAUAUUCUUAAAAUGAUUAAUUUGAUUGAUUUGUUACGCCACGUCACUAAUAUACCCGUUGCAUUCUAAAAUUUUUCCUCUUGUAGAUCUCAUGUUUGAAACCAUCAUGUCAUUUGUAAACUCACCAUUUAAUGCUCCUUCACUCGCUGGCUCUUUUAGUUUACCUACCAAUUGAACAUGUCUCUCAACCCACAAAAAAGGGCUCCCGAAAUUUUCUCUGCUUUGAAAUUUUGGCGGUCCAUAAUUUUGACUUCGUUUUGUUUUUAGUUCGUGAUUCUUCAGCUACCCCCUUUUCUUGCUUACGAACGUGGACUAGGACGAAAAAUUCUAGAAUGCAACGGGUAUAUUAGUGACGUGGCAUAACAAAUCAAUUAAAUUAAUUCUUUUAAGAAUAUAUGUCCCAUCAUGAUUGUAAAAAAAUAUUUUUAUUGUACUUUUGUUUGAAAAGAAGGAAUGUGACUGGCUUGUUAUUGAUGACGUGGUGCAAGUGUGACCGUGUAGAAUUCCUCCCUUUUUAGAGAUAUCAACGGGUUGGAUUCGGGGCGAAUUUUUAAAAAUCUGAAUCCGAACCCGACUCCAAACCUGAGAUCCGAACCCGACGGAUUUUAAAAAUUCAUAUCCAAACCCGAAUCCGACCAAAAAUCCGAAACCCGAACCCGAACCUGAACCCGAAAAUUUGAACCCGAGACAAUUAUUUUUUUUUUCAAUAUUUCAAAAUAUAUUAUAUUAAACCUAAAUUUUUAAAAUACAAAUUCAAAUAUAAUAUCAAAUUUUUAUAUAUAUAUUAUAUAUAAUACAAAAUAAAUUCGGGUUCGGGUUGGGUUCGGGUUCGGGUCGGGUACAAUCAAAAUCCAUAUCCGAAUCCAUAUCCGUCGGGUUUAUAUUUUUGAUAUUCAUAUCCGAAUCCAUAUCCAUAUCUAUCGAAUAUAUCCGUUUCAUUCGAGUUCGGGUUUGGAUAAAAUUUCUGGUAUCCAUACCCAUUGACAUCCCUACUCCUUUUAUUGAAGAGAUAAUAUAUAAAAUAACUUUCAAAAUAUUUAAAAUAUUUUAUAUACUUUUUUUUAUUUCAAAUUAUAGUUCUUGUAUAUU
This 1571-nucleotide long non-coding RNA is filed under the name Ananas comosus (pineapple). RNAcentral's name for it is "long non-coding RNA (ACOM_LNC038126)". The record is from RNAcentral. Lineage: Eukaryota; Viridiplantae; Streptophyta; Magnoliopsida; Poales; Bromeliaceae.